GGCGGCGUGCUUGACACAUCCAAGUCGAACGGUAUGUGGCAACCCAUAGAGUGGCGAACGGAUGAGUAACACGUGGGAACGUACCUUGGGCAGGGGGAUAACUGACCGAAAGGACAGCUAAUACCGCAUAAGACCGAGAGGAGAAAGGUGCAACAGCAUCGGCAAAGGAGCGGCCCGCGGACCAUCAGCUAGUUGGUGGGGUAAGAUCCUACCAAGGCAACGACGGAUAACCGGCGUGAGAGCGUGGCCGGCCACAAGGACACUGAGAUACGGGUCCUACUCCUACGGGAGGCAGCAGUNNGGAAUUUUAGAUAANGGAGGCAACUGUGAUCUAGUGACGCCGGGUGCAGGAAGAAGGUNUUCGGAUUGUAAAGUGCUGUGGUAAGGGAAAAAUGCCAUGUAGAGUGAAA
RNAcentral lists this ribosomal RNA (410 nucleotides) under bacterium enrichment culture DGGE gel band A41. Its description in RNAcentral is "bacterial SSU rRNA". It matches the Rfam family "Bacterial small subunit ribosomal RNA", at positions 38 to 465 of the family's 1533-position model. The record is from RNAcentral.